This 109-nucleotide small nucleolar RNA is filed under the name Coniophora puteana RWD-64-598 SS2. The record is from RNAcentral. Lineage: Eukaryota; Fungi; Basidiomycota; Agaricomycetes; Boletales; Coniophoraceae.
AUAUGAUGAGCCUUUUAGAUGACGAGUCCGAUCACAUUGUCUUGAGGUUUCCUCCUGUCAGUGUCCAUGACGAGUCUUUCAAAUUUUUACCAUUCAUGCUUUUCUGAAC